This is a long non-coding RNA of Armigeres subalbatus, 440 nucleotides long. RefSeq lists it as uncharacterized. The record is from RefSeq and is a predicted model, not a curated record. Lineage: Eukaryota; Metazoa; Arthropoda; Insecta; Diptera; Culicidae. The transcript is spliced from 3 exons.
GUCAUAGCAACAUUUUUGAAAGUUUUUCUUCAAACAAAAACAAACUUCGAAAAUGGAAGCGUUUGCAGGCAUGAAAACAUGCCGUUUCCACAGCUGCUGUUAUUUCUGAGAAAGACUGGCCAGAAAUAUGUGGGAUUAAAUUAACUAUUGCGGGGCUAGCGGCUACAUUGUAUGACCUUACACUGUUCCGGUUGUCGUGAAGAUAUCUCACAGGAGUUUGUCAUCGCGAUUGGUUUUCUGCUAUAAUAUACCUCUCACUAGAAUUUACCAGAUGCAAUAGUCGUAUCCAAGCCUCUACGGCAGCCAGACAACGCAAGGUGAAGUGACGAUUUCGAUUCUUUAUCGAUGAGAAUUCCGGAGGGAACCGUUGGGACAAUGCGGUACAAUCGGCAAAAAAAAACGACAAAGCCUGCACAAUAUAUGCCGUCUUUUUCGGGAUA